Small nucleolar RNA from Nannospalax galili (Upper Galilee mountains blind mole rat), 75 nucleotides. RefSeq annotates it as small nucleolar RNA SNORD99. NCBI's taxonomy places the organism in Eukaryota, Metazoa, Chordata, Mammalia, Rodentia, Spalacidae. The transcript has a single exon. The record is from RefSeq and is a predicted model, not a curated record.
GUUAGGUCCGGGAUGAAUCCUAAUCUGGUUAGACAUCUAUGGGUGAGAAAUGUGGAUGUGGGACUGAGACCAGCU